This 96-nucleotide ribosomal RNA is filed under the name Canavalia gladiata (sword bean). RNAcentral describes it as "partial 18S ribosomal RNA". It matches the Rfam family "Eukaryotic small subunit ribosomal RNA", at positions 1736 to 1831 of the family's 1831-position model. RNAcentral also lists the same sequence under 12 other names. Lineage: Eukaryota; Viridiplantae; Streptophyta; Magnoliopsida; Fabales; Fabaceae. The record is from RNAcentral.
CCCGCGACGUUGUGAGAAGUCCACUGAACCUUAUCAUUUAGAGGAAGGAGAAGUCGUAACAAGGUUUCCGUAGGUGAACCUGCGGAAGGAUCAUUG